This 478-nucleotide ribosomal RNA is filed under the name uncultured bacterium. RNAcentral's name for it is "partial 16S ribosomal RNA". It matches the Rfam family "Bacterial small subunit ribosomal RNA", at positions 28 to 507 of the family's 1533-position model. The record is from RNAcentral.
GAUGAACGCUGGCGGCGUGCCUAACACAUGCAAGUCGAACGGAGUCCAGCCUUUAAGACCUUCGGGUCAAAGAGGGGAAGACUGAGUGGCGGACGUGUGAGUAACACGUGGGCAACCUGGCUCAUAGAGGGGGAUAACAGAGAGAAAUUUCUGCUAAUACCGCAUAAGCACACACUGCCGCAUGGCAGAGGGUGAAAAGAGAAUCGCUAUGAGAUGGACCCGCGUCUGAUUAGCCAGUUGGCAGGGUAAGAGCCUACCAAAGCGACGAUCAGUAGCCGAUCUGAGAGGAUGAACGGCCACAUUGGGACUGAGACACGGCCCAAACUCCUACGGGAGGCAGCAGUGGGGGAUAUUGCACAAUGGGGGGAACCCUGAUGCAGCGACGCCGCGUGAGUGAAGAAGUAUUUCGGUAUGUAAAGCUCUAUCAGCAGGGAAGAUAAUGACAGUACCUGAAGAAGAAGCCCCGGCUAACUACGUG